Molecule: transfer RNA, 72 nt
Filed under: Ixodes scapularis (black-legged tick)
Lineage: Eukaryota; Metazoa; Arthropoda; Arachnida; Ixodida; Ixodidae
Rfam family: tRNA
About the family: Transfer RNA (tRNA) molecules are approximately 80 nucleotides in length. Their secondary structure includes four short double-helical elements and three loops (D, anti-codon, and T loops).
Source: Rfam by way of RNAcentral
CCCUGGUUAGCUCAAUUGGUAGAGCGCUCCACCUGUUUGGAGAGGUCCCGGGUUCGAUACCCGGACCAGGCG